UACCUCUCCGUAGAAAGUGAGGCUUUCAACGAAUAACGCAUAAACAUAAUCUUGUAAACACUCAUUUUUUCAUGAUGAUUCAUGUUGAUAACGUGAAUUAGUUAAAUACUCCUGAAUGAACCCGUUCUCUGGCGACAUCUGGAAGUCUAUGCUUGACGGCAAGGUUCCCAACUUCCCACCCGAGCCUCAGUUGCUCAUCAGUCGUUCGUGAGACUACGUACCAACAGUACAACAAACAUGUCUGACAGUCUUGACGGUUGCCUUAGUUGUCUGGAUGUAUGUGGUUAUUGCUGUGAGUCUUCUGCGCUUCUCUGCCUUGUCUGUGACUGCUGUUACGAUGGUUCAUCCAGUGCAGGCAAUGGGAAGAAAAAGGAAGAAGAGAAAGUGGUGACGACCCAACCCACGACAACAGACGACACAGCAAAAGAAGCAACCUGAAUUCCCAAGAACUACAGAAUACUUGUGUCUAAUUCUCAAAAACCAUGACAAUAACAUUAAUUAGAAAUGUUUACUACAAGAAAUCAUGUUAUUUGUAUCUGUGUGAAUAGCUGUGAUAUUCUGUUUAGAUCGCAUGUAUGUUUCGGCGGAUGUUAGUAAUCUGUACUAUAUUUUACAAUGUAGAACAUGGAAGAGAAACAUACCUUUGAAUGAGGGAUUGUUAUGUGGUAAGUUGAUUAGAGAGUGAAUGAAGAAUUAGCAUUAUGCUUGUUACUGAAUUAAGAAUUAGUGUUUAGCAUGUUGAGUAGAUAUGAUUAUUUUUUAGUGAAUGACAAGUGGACACGUGGGAAAAGUUUCUUUUUAGAUUAAGCCAUUUCCGUAGCUGUUAAUAGUUCAACUUUUUUCCAUCCUUAGCAGUAUUUUGCAUGUCUCUGUUCUUCCAUAUUAUUUUUUGAAAUAGAGUUCGCAAAACUUAGAUUUCGUUUAGGCUUUCGAGUCUUUUUUCUAUUGUGAUGUUUCAGUUCAGUAUUGCCAAGGAGGUAAAUACAUUUUUUUUCUUUGAUUCUGACCUCUCUCUCUCUCUCUCUCUCUCUCUCUCUCUCUCUCUCUCUCUCUCUCUCUCUCUCUCUCUCUCUCUCUCUCUCUCUCUCUCUCUCUCUCUCUCUCUUAUUCGCAUUCUUCAUUUUUUUUAAACAGGGACUAAUCCUUAGUACAUUUGUGCUUAUAUGUAAUAUCUGAUCGCCUACUUCUGAAUUCUUUUGAUGUUAGUGGUUUUGUUUACAUGUGAUGUUCCAGAUUAUUUUCUCAUUGUGAAUAAAUAUGUACAAAAUUAA
This is a long non-coding RNA of Penaeus vannamei (Pacific white shrimp), 1271 nucleotides long. RefSeq lists it as uncharacterized. Lineage: Eukaryota; Metazoa; Arthropoda; Malacostraca; Decapoda; Penaeidae. The record is from RefSeq and is a predicted model, not a curated record.